RNAcentral lists this long non-coding RNA (410 nucleotides) under Macaca nemestrina (pig-tailed macaque). RNAcentral's name for it is "lncRNA (ENSMNEG00000045736.1)". Lineage: Eukaryota; Metazoa; Chordata; Mammalia; Primates; Cercopithecidae. The record is from RNAcentral.
GAGACCUAAUGGCCUAGAGAUCAAGUUAGACAAUGCAACAAGCAAUUAUGAAAAUAGCAUUUGCUUCCUUUGCAGCUUUGUGUGUCACUGGAUACAGAAGAAGUGUACAAGGCAAUAUCUGGGUUGUGCCUCCAAAGGGAAUUGUGUACCCUCUCCUUUCCAAUUCCUUCUUGUUGGACAAGAUGGUAGACAUUGUGAGUUGGAAGACAUGCACUGAAGCCUGGACUCUUGACAACUUUGAGGAGAAAAGCUACAAUAUCAGCUUGGAGUUUUAUGGAAAAGAAAUCAAUUUUGAGCUGCCUAAUUUACUUUUAGCACUCUGUGUCACAACAUCUAAGUCUAUCUAAGAUGUCAGGAGUUCCUUGGCUUUUGGUAUAUUGUAGUGUUUACCUUACCUUCCUUAUAAAGAC